This 497-nucleotide ribosomal RNA is filed under the name uncultured bacterium. Its description in RNAcentral is "partial 16S ribosomal RNA". It matches the Rfam family "Bacterial small subunit ribosomal RNA", at positions 28 to 507 of the family's 1533-position model. The record is from RNAcentral.
GACGAACGCUGGCGGCGUGCCUAAUACAUGCAAGUCGAGCGAACAGACGAGGAUCUUGCUCCUCUGACGUUAGCGGCGGACGGGUGAGUAACACGUGGAUAACCUACCUAUAAGCCUGGGAUAACUUCGGGAAACCGGAGCUAAUACCGGAUAAUCUAUUGAACCGCAUGGUUCAAUAGUGAAAGACGGUCUUUCUGUUACUUAUAGAUGGAUCCGCGCCGCAUUAGCUAGUUGGUAAGGUAACGGCUUACCAAGGCAACGAUGCGUAGCCGACCUGAGAGGGUGAUCGGCCACACUGGAACUGAGACACGGUCCAGACUCCUACGGGAGGCAGCAGUAGGGAAUCUUCCGCAAUGGGCGAAAGCUUGACGGAGCAACGCCGCGUGAGUGAUGAAGGUCUUCGGAUCGUAAAACUCUGUUAUUAGGGAAGAACAAAUGUGUAAGUAACUAUGCACGUCUUGACGGUACCUAAUCAGAAAGCCACGGCUAACUACGUG